This 1923-nucleotide long non-coding RNA is filed under the name Homo sapiens (human). Its description in RNAcentral is "SLC30A4 antisense RNA 1". Lineage: Eukaryota; Metazoa; Chordata; Mammalia; Primates; Hominidae. The record is from RNAcentral.
ACCUAAGCGAUGAAAUCCAAAGGUGAAUCUUUUGGUUGGUGAUUUUGAUGAUAGCCACAAAGCAAGCAGGGUAAUGCUGAUGCUUCAAGUCUUGGAACCACACUUCGAGAAUCACUGUUAUAAUGUACAGCAGAACUGCAUGAUCAGCUGUAUGGUAGCCUUGAAAACCAACAGGCCACAAUCACAGUGAAAACCUCAGGUUGGCAGCCACUGGAGGAUACAAAAUGAGUUUGGAUCUCCUUCAAUGCCCCAUUCCCAGAGAACUGUCAUUAUUUGACCUGCUGGUAGUUCCCUAAAGGACGUGCAAGGAUGUUUUUAUUUGACUGGACACUUGAAGCUUGCCCUGUAUGAACAGCCCCCAUCUUCCCAUGCUUGUCAAAAAUCAGAGGCAACUAACACUGCGGCUUCCUGAGAGUCUCACUCUGUCACCCAGGCUGGAGAGCAAUUGCACAAACACUUGGCUCACUGCAGCCUCAACUUCUUGUCCUCAAGUGAUCCUCCCACCUUAGCCUCCUAAGUAGCUGGGACCACAGUGAGGUCAAAAAAUGUUUGAAAGCCACUGAGAUAGAAGGACCAGCCACUUUGAACGCCUUAGAGGCAAAAAGAGCUUUGUGAGUUGUAAGAGGAAAAAGAAGACCAGCAUGGCUGAAGCGAGCCCUGGGGAGGAGUGUUAUGAAAGAAGAUGAGUCUGGAAGUGUUAGUUGCAAAGAUAUGCAUUUACUUCUCUGGCUACAAAAAAGAAUAGAAAUGCACAAAGCAGAGCAGUGUGAAGAAGAAGAGGCGAUGACCCCUAGACCGACCAAAGCCCGUGCUCCACUGCCCAGUGCCUAUGUCCCACCACUGUCGCUGCCACCCUGCCCGAGAGAAAGGCUGAAGGGGAUGCUAAAGGAGAUAAAACCAAGGUUAAGUAGGAACUGCAGAGAAGAUCCACAAGGUUGUCUGCUAAACCUGCUCCUCCAAAGCCACAGCCGAAGCCCAGAAAGGCCUCUGCAAAGAAGAGAGAGAAGGUACCUACAGAGAAGAAGGGAAAAGCUGAUGCUGGCAAGGAGGGGAAUAACCCUGCAGAAAAUGGAGAUGCCAAAACAGACUAGGCACAGAAAGCUAAAGGUGCUGGAGAUGCCAAGUGAAGUGUGUGCAUUUUUGAUAACUGUGUACUUCUGGUGACUGUACAGUUUGAAAUACUAUUUUUUAAUCAAGUUUUAUAAAAAUGCAGAUUUUGUUUAGCUUUUUUUUUUUUUUUUAAGCUAUGUUAGUACACAGAAUACUUCAUUGUUGUUUUGGGGAGAAGGGCCAUAUGUCACUAAUAGAAAGCCCCUGAAGCUGGACUGAUGUGGGGAAAACACCUUUUCCUUCUGGUUUUGAGAGACUUCCUCUUGGGUCCCAGGAAGAGGGAUUCCCUGACUUUGAUACACAUGGCCACCUUGGUAUAAAAGCCUUGUGGUAUGGAAAAACAAAUUCGUUUUUUAUGUCCUCUUCUCUGUUUCUACCUUUCAGAAUGGACUUAAAUCCCUUAAACCCAGACAUCUUCUGGGACCUGACCCCCAAUAAUUGGUUACCAGUGUGUCAGGCAAUCUGGACUUUGCCCUCAAAAGAGCAGUGGUUCCUGUUUCUAGGUUGUGGAUCUUCAGAUAAAUUCUGUCAUUUUCCUUUCACUUCCUGAAAGCCAGGGUCGGUUCAUGAAAAGCUAUGAAACAGCAUGCUAAAUGUGAAAUGUCAACCCUCACUAAACUUUGCCGGUUCAGAGCAUCAGAUGAAGACUUCAUUGGGUUUUACAGUGGCUUUCUGAUUUUUGGUAGUCCAUUGAAGAAGGGAGUUUGAAAGUUGUUGUAUACUGUUAACGAUUGUCUGCCCAUGUCCUGCCCAAAAUACCAUGAUUCUUUAUGGAAAUUAUCUUUAAUAAAGCUGGAUACAGUUUGGCUUGGG